GGUUCUCGUCACUAAAGGCCGUAGUGUAUCGUACUUCGGAGGAGGUGGCACGUGCCAGCUGCGACAGUUGCGGGUCUUCAACGGAUCGCACGUACCCAGGUGGGGCCUUCCUAUCGUAGACGCCAGGGGCGUAGGGAUGCUCGACGACGUCGUACGGGACGUAUGGCCACAACUCCGCCUUCUUGCCCGUGCGAUGAGCCACACGCGCCACCACCUUGUUCGGGUC
Molecule: long non-coding RNA, 226 nt
Filed under: Coffea arabica (coffee)
Lineage: Eukaryota; Viridiplantae; Streptophyta; Magnoliopsida; Gentianales; Rubiaceae
Description: long non-coding RNA (CARA_LNC006411)
Source: RNAcentral